This is a non-coding RNA of Pteropus alecto (black flying fox), 120 nucleotides long. The record is from Rfam. Lineage: Eukaryota; Metazoa; Chordata; Mammalia; Chiroptera; Pteropodidae.
AUACUCUGAUUUAUCUUCAAAUCAUAUAAAUCUUUCACCUUUUACUAAAGAUUUCCGUAGAGAAUGGGCUACCAGUGUGUUAAAUAUUGAUCCUUUCAGCCCUCCACAGCCUUCUGUGUC